GACGAACGCUGGCGGCGUGCUUAACACAUGCAAGUCGAGCGAUGAAGUUCCUUCGGGAAUGGAUUAGCGGCGGACGGGUGAGUAACACGUGGGUAACCUGCCUCAUAGAGGGGAAUAGCCUUUCGAAAGGAAGAUUAAUACCGCAUAAGAUUGUAGUACCGCAUGGUACAGCAAUUAAAGGAGUAAUCCGCUAUGAGAUGGACCCGCGUCGCAUUAGCUAGUUGGUGAGGUAACGGCUCACCAAGGCGACGAUGCGUAGCCGACCUGAGAGGGGGAUCGGCCACAUUGGGACUGAGACACUGCCCAGACUCCUACGGGAGGCAGCAGUGGGGAAUAUUGCACAAUGGGGGAAACCCUGAUGCAGCAACGCCGCGUGGGUGAUGACGGUCUUCGGAUUGUAAAGCUCUGUCUUCAGGGACGAUAAUGACGGUACCUGAGGAGGAAGCCACGGCUAACUACGUGCCAGCCGCCGCCGUAA
This 478-nucleotide ribosomal RNA is filed under the name uncultured bacterium. Its description in RNAcentral is "partial 16S ribosomal RNA". It matches the Rfam family "Bacterial small subunit ribosomal RNA", at positions 28 to 523 of the family's 1533-position model. The record is from RNAcentral.